AUUGAACGCUGGCGGCAGGCCUAACACAUGCAAGUCGAGCGGAUGAAGGGAGCUUGCUCCUGGAUUCAGCGGCGGACGGGUGAGUAAUGCCUAGGAAUCUGCCUGGUAGUGGGGGAUAACGUCCGGAAACGGGCGCUAAUACCGCAUACGUCCUGAGGGAGAAAGUGGGGGAUCUUCGGACCUCACGCUAUCAGAUGAGCCUAGGUCGGAUUAGCUAGUUGGUGGGGUAAAGGCCUACCAAGGCGACGAUCCGUAACUGGUCUGGGAGGAUGAUCAGUCACACUGGAACUGAGACACGGUCCAGACUCCGACGGGAGGCAGCAGUGGGGAAUAUUGGACAAUGGGCGAAAGCCUGAUCCAGCCAUGCCGCGUGUGUGAAGAAGGUCUUCGGAUUGUAAAGCACUUUAAGUUGGGAGGAAGGGCAGUAAGUUAAUACCUUGCUGUUUUGACGUUACCAACAGAAUAAGCACCGGCUAACUUCGUG
This 484-nucleotide ribosomal RNA is filed under the name uncultured bacterium. Its description in RNAcentral is "partial 16S ribosomal RNA". It matches the Rfam family "Bacterial small subunit ribosomal RNA", at positions 30 to 507 of the family's 1533-position model. The record is from RNAcentral.